RNAcentral lists this ribosomal RNA (141 nucleotides) under uncultured eukaryote. Its description in RNAcentral is "partial 18S ribosomal RNA". It matches the Rfam family "Eukaryotic small subunit ribosomal RNA", at positions 1299 to 1458 of the family's 1831-position model. The record is from RNAcentral.
UGGUGGAGUGAUUUGUCUGGUUAAUUCCGUUAACGAACGAGACCUCGGCCUACUAAAUAGUCCGGUCUUCCUUUCGGGGAAGGCUGGGACUUCUUAGAGGGACUAUCGGUGUGUAGCCGAUGGAAGUUCGAGGCAAUAACA